This 253-nucleotide ribosomal RNA is filed under the name uncultured bacterium. RNAcentral describes it as "partial 16S ribosomal RNA". It matches the Rfam family "Bacterial small subunit ribosomal RNA", at positions 524 to 774 of the family's 1533-position model. The record is from RNAcentral.
UACGUAGGGCGCAAGCGUUAUCCGGAAUUAUUGGGCGUAAAGAGCUCGUAGGCGGUUUGUCGCGUCUGCCGUGAAAGUCCGGGGCUCAACUCCGGAUCUGCGGUGGGUACGGGCAGACUAGAGUGAUGUAGGGGAGACUGGAAUUCCUGGGUGUAGCGGUGAAAUGCGCAGAUAUCAGGAGGAACACCGAUGGCGAAGGCAGGUCUCUGGGCGAUUAACUGACGCUGAGGAGCGAAAGCAUGGGGAGCGAACA